Fukomys damarensis (Damara mole-rat) is the source of this 72-nucleotide non-coding RNA. Lineage: Eukaryota; Metazoa; Chordata; Mammalia; Rodentia; Bathyergidae. The record is from Rfam.
GAAGGUAUAGCUCAGUGGUAGAGCACUUACCUGGCAUGUGUGGGGCUCUGGGUUCCAUCCCCAGUUCUGCCA